AUUGAACGCUGGCGGCAUGCCUUACACAUGCAAGUCGAACGGUAACAGGUCUUCGGAUGCUGACGAGUGGCGAACGGGCGAGUAAUCCAUCGGAACGUGCCUAGCAGUGGGGGAUAACUAGUCACAUGAGUGGCUAUUACCGCAUGAGAUCUACGGAUGAAAGCAGGGGAUCGCAAGAACUAUUGCGACUAGAGCGGAGGAUGGCAGAGUAGUUAGUUGGUGGGAUAAAAGCUUACCAAGCCGACGAUCUGUAGCUGGUCUGAGAGGACGAUCAGCCACACUGGGACUGAGACACGGCCCAGACUCCUACGGGAGGCAGCAGUGGGGAAUUUUGGACAAUGGGCGAAAGCCUGAUCCAGCAAUGCCGCGUGCAGGAUGAAGGCCUUCGGGUUGUAAACUGCUUUUGUACGGAACGAAAAGCCCCGGGUUAAUACCCUGGGGUCAUGACGGUACCGUAAGAAUAAGCACCGGCUAACUACGUGCCAGCCGCCGCCGUAA
This 498-nucleotide ribosomal RNA is filed under the name uncultured bacterium. RNAcentral describes it as "partial 16S ribosomal RNA". It matches the Rfam family "Bacterial small subunit ribosomal RNA", at positions 30 to 523 of the family's 1533-position model. The record is from RNAcentral.